RNAcentral lists this long non-coding RNA (209 nucleotides) under Mytilus galloprovincialis (Mediterranean mussel). Lineage: Eukaryota; Metazoa; Mollusca; Bivalvia; Mytilida; Mytilidae. The record is from RNAcentral.
AUUGUAAGCAUAACUAAGGCAAUAUGUCAUAAUGUGAUUGUUCUCCCUGUUAUUUGAAGCAGUCGCCUGGAGGUUUUCUUAUCUUUUUUUUAAUUCGUUUCAUUUGAACAUCAAGACGAAACUGUAAGCCCUUAAGACCACUUCGAAAAAAACAGUUGCAUUCUCUGUAUGACAUUUUUAUGUCUACUGACUCGAGCUUUAUUCCCAAG